GAAGGAUGUGCUGGACUGCAACCCUUGCUUGUGACAAAGAGGUUCUUAUCCUGUUGUCCUGUAACUGUACCUCAGACUGAGGUGCAGACAGAAGAGGGGUUUUCAGCUGAAGCACUGAUGACAUUUGAAUAAGAUGCUUGUAUGAAACCUCUGAAGUUUUCAUAUCAGAAAAAGAUCAUCACUGAAAACACCCUAAGGGAAGGAAAAGGAUCAUUGGUCAAUGGUAGUGCUGUAAAGCACAAUACCAGUGAAAAAUCAGGAGAGAAAAUACUGACAACUUAAUAAGCUUCAGAACAAGCUAUGAAGAGUUAGUAGCACAGACUGCACAAGAUCUAUCAGGAAUAGCACCUAAGUUGCUCUGUUUGAGCUCUUCUACUAC
This 379-nucleotide long non-coding RNA is filed under the name Manacus vitellinus (golden-collared manakin). Its description in RNAcentral is "lncRNA (ENSMVIG00005013171.1)". Lineage: Eukaryota; Metazoa; Chordata; Aves; Passeriformes; Pipridae. The record is from RNAcentral.